This is a long non-coding RNA of Musa acuminata AAA Group (dessert banana), 814 nucleotides long. RefSeq lists it as uncharacterized. The record is from RefSeq and is a predicted model, not a curated record. The transcript is spliced from 2 exons. NCBI's taxonomy places the organism in Eukaryota, Viridiplantae, Streptophyta, Magnoliopsida, Zingiberales, Musaceae.
GGAGCGGCCAAAGCAUAGAUCGUGCGUCACUAUACGCACAGCUUCAUACGAUCACCAGGAGUUGGGUAGCCCCGACAUCAGAUAUAGAGUGAGAGACACAUGUACGCUGGCUACAAGAACACGACAAGCCAGGGGCAACCUUGUCCUGUUCUGCAAAAAGCAUAGCCACCUCCUAGUAUUCCCAUCUCGUUCUUCCUUCUCUUAACCUCAAACCCCAACCCACUCCUCAAUGUGCAGCUCUUGUGUUACCACUUUCUAGUUUGAUCGUGCCCAGCAAACAACUCAAUUCUUCUCUUCAUCGUCUCUGCGACAGUAGGUGACAUCCUCCUUGCUAUAAGAGUCUGUGUGUGUGCAGCAUUUGGUACGAUGAGUGGUCCGUUGCCAUGGUGAUGCAGUGAGUGACCGCUCGCAUUGUGUCUUCAUCCUGCGGUGUGCAUGAGCAGGCAAGGAGGAAGAGCAGUCGAUGGAAGGCAUGCAAAGGAAGGGAUGUGUGCACAGGAUCAGGAAGUGCGCGGUCGAUCUGCUGUCGAUGGAGGACGAUCUGAUCGAUGCCGAGGAGAAGGAUGGGUGGGAGCUGACGGGCAGCGAGCUUCGCCUCAAGUCCACAUUCUUGUACUGUGAUCUCCACCAGGUGAUCGCCAGUGCCGGAGAAGAGCGCAAGAAGGCUCUCACCCUCCUCGCCAACAAGCUCUUCUACCGCCUGGAACAGGAAACUCCUCUUCACCUUUUCUCUCUGUGACAACCCCUGCUACUUUGUUGUUAGUGUCUGGAGGAAGAAGACGAAAGUGGUCGGUGUGUGUGUACAGGUUUCUCA